UACGAAGGGGGCUAGCGUUGUUCGGAAUCACUGGGCGUAAAGGGCGCGUAGGCGGCUUUGUAAGUCGGGGGUGAAAGCCUGUGGCUCAACCACAGAAUUGCCUUCGAUACUGCAUGGCUUGAGACCGGAAGAGGUAAGUGGAACUGCGAGUGUAGAGGUGAAAUUCGUAGAUAUUCGCAAGAACACCAGUGGCGAAGGCGGCUUACUGGUCCGGUUCGUGACGCUGAGGCGCGAAAGCGUGGGGAGCAAACAGG
Molecule: ribosomal RNA, 254 nt
Filed under: uncultured bacterium
Lineage: Bacteria
Description: partial 16S ribosomal RNA
Rfam family: Bacterial small subunit ribosomal RNA
Source: RNAcentral